UACGUAGGGUGCGAGCGUUGUCCGGAAUUAUUGGGCGUAAAGGGCUCGUAGGCGGUUUGUCGCGUCGGGAGUGAAAUCCACUGGCUUAACUGGUGGCUUGCUUUCGAUACGGGCAGACUGGAGGUAUGCAGGGGAGAACGGAAUUCCUGGUGCAGCGGUGAAAUGCGCAGAUAUCAGGAGGAACACCGGUGGCGAAGGCGGUUCUCUGGGCAUGUCCUGACGCUGAGGAGCGAAAGUGUGGGGAGCGAACAGG
This 253-nucleotide ribosomal RNA is filed under the name uncultured bacterium. RNAcentral describes it as "partial 16S ribosomal RNA". It matches the Rfam family "Bacterial small subunit ribosomal RNA", at positions 524 to 776 of the family's 1533-position model. The record is from RNAcentral.